This 465-nucleotide ribosomal RNA is filed under the name Vreelandella stevensii. RNAcentral's name for it is "partial 16S ribosomal RNA". It matches the Rfam family "Bacterial small subunit ribosomal RNA", at positions 338 to 795 of the family's 1533-position model. Lineage: Bacteria; Pseudomonadati; Pseudomonadota; Gammaproteobacteria; Oceanospirillales; Halomonadaceae. The record is from RNAcentral.
CCUACGGGAGGCAGCAGUGGGGAAUAUUGGACAAUGGGCGAAAGCCUGAUCCAGCCAUGCCGCGUGUGUGAAGAAGGCCUUCGGGUUGUAAAGCACUUUCAGUGGGGAAGAAAGCCUUGGGGCUAAUACCCUCGAGGAAGGACAUCACCCACAGAAGAAGCACCGGCUAACUCCGUGCCAGCAGCCGCGGUAAUACGGAGGGUGCGAGCGUUAAUCGGAAUUACUGGGCGUAAAGCGCGCGUAGGCGGUCUGAUAAGCCGGUUGUGAAAGCCCCGGGCUCAACCUGGGAACGGCAUCCGGAACUGUCAGGCUAGAGUGCAGGAGAGGAAGGUAGAAUUCCCGGUGUAGCGGUGAAAUGCGUAGAGAUCGGGAGGAAUACCAGUGGCGAAGGCAGCCUUCUGGACUGACACUGACGCUGAGGUGCGAAAGCGUGGGUAGCAAACAGGAUUAGAUACCCCAGUAGUC